GACGAACGCUGGCGGCGUGCUUAACACAUGCAAGUCGAACGGUAAGGCCCUUCGGGGUACACGAGUGGCGAACGGGUGAGUAACACGUGGGUGAUCUGCCCUGCACUUCGGGAUAAGCCUGGGAAACUGGGUCCAUACCGGAUAGGACCACUGCCUGCAUGGGUGGUGGUGGAAAGCUUUUGCGGUGUGGGAUGGGCCCGCGGCCGAUCAGCUUGUUGGUGGGGUGAUGGCCUACCAAGGCGACGACGGGGAGCCGGCCUGUGAGGGUGACCGGCCACACUGGGAGUGGGAUACGGCCCAGAAUCCUACGGGAGGCAGCAGUGGGGAAUAUUGCACAAUGGGCGCAAGCCUGAUGCAGCGACGCCGCGUGAGGGAUGACGGCCUUCGGGUUGUAAACCUCUUUCAGCACCGACGAAGCGCAAGUGACGGUAGGUGCAGAAGAAGGACCGGCCAACUACGUGCCAGCCGCCGCCGUAA
RNAcentral lists this ribosomal RNA (477 nucleotides) under uncultured bacterium. Its description in RNAcentral is "partial 16S ribosomal RNA". It matches the Rfam family "Bacterial small subunit ribosomal RNA", at positions 28 to 523 of the family's 1533-position model. The record is from RNAcentral.